RNAcentral lists this ribosomal RNA (1552 nucleotides) under Escherichia coli. RNAcentral's name for it is "bacterial SSU rRNA". It matches the Rfam family "Bacterial small subunit ribosomal RNA". Lineage: Bacteria; Pseudomonadati; Pseudomonadota; Gammaproteobacteria; Enterobacterales; Enterobacteriaceae. The record is from RNAcentral.
AAAUUGAAGAGUUUGAUCAUGGCUCAGAUUGAACGCUGGCGGCAGGCCUAACACAUGCAAGUCGAACGGUAACAGGAAGAAGCUUGCUUCUUUGCUGACGAGUGGCGGACGGGUGAGUAAUGUCUGGGAAACUGCCUGAUGGAGGGGGAUAACUACUGGAAACGGUAGCUAAUACCGCAUAACGUCGCAAGACCAAAGAGGGGGACCUUCGGGCCUCUUGCCAUCGGAUGUGCCCAGAUGGGAUUAGCUUGUUGGUGGGGUAACGGCUCACCAAGGCGACGAUCCCUAGCUGGUCUGAGAGGAUGACCAGCCACACUGGAACUGAGACACGGUCCAGACUCCUACGGGAGGCAGCAGUGGGGAAUAUUGCACAAUGGGCGCAAGCCUGAUGCAGCCAUGCCGCGUGUAUGAAGAAGGCCUUCGGGUUGUAAAGUACUUUCAGCGGGGAGGAAGGGAGUAAAGUUAAUACCUUUACUCAUUGACGUUACCCGCAGAAGAAGCACCGGCUAACUCCGUGCCAGCAGCCGCGGUAAUACGGAGGGUGCAAGCGUUAAUCGGAAUUACUGGGCGUAAAGCGCACGCAGGCGGUUUGUUAAGUCAGAUGUGAAAUCCCCGGGCUCAACCUGGGAACUGCAUCUGAUACUGGCAAGCUUGAGUCUCGUAGAGGGGGGUAGAAUUCCAGGUGUAGCGGUGAAAUGCGUAGAGAUCUGGAGGAAUACCGGUGGCGAAGGCGGCCCCCUGGACGAAGACUGACGCUCAGGUGCGAAAGCGUGGGGAGCAAACAGGAUUAGAUACCCUGGUAGUCCACGCCGUAAACGAUGUCGACUUGGAGGUUGUGCCCUUGAGGCGUGGCUUCCGGAGCUAACGCGUUAAGUCGACCGCCUGGGGAGUACGGCCGCAAGGUUAAAACUCAAAUGAAUUGACGGGGGCCCGCACAAGCGGUGGAGCAUGUGGUUUAAUUCGAUGCAACGCGAAGAACCUUACCUGGUCUUGACAUCCACAGAACUUUCCAGAGAUGGAUUGGUGCCUUCGGGAACUGUGAGACAGGUGCUGCAUGGCUGUCGUCAGCUCGUGUUGUGAAAUGUUGGGUUAAGUCCCGCAACGAGCGCAACCCUUAUCCUUUGUUGCCAGCGGUCCGGCCGGGAACUCAAAGGAGACUGCCAGUGAUAAACUGGAGGAAGGUGGGGAUGACGUCAAGUCAUCAUGGCCCUUACGACCAGGGCUACACACGUGCUACAAUGGCGCAUACAAAGAGAAGCGACCUCGCGAGAGCAAGCGGACCUCAUAAAGUGCGUCGUAGUCCGGAUUGGAGUCUGCAACUCGACUCCAUGAAGUCGGAAUCGCUAGUAAUCGUGGAUCAGAAUGCCACGGUGAAUACGUUCCCGGGCCUUGUACACACCGCCCGUCACACCAUGGGAGUGGGUUGCAAAAGAAGUAGGUAGCUUAACCUUCGGGAGGGCGCUUACCACUUUGUGAUUCAUGACUGGGGUGAAGUCGUAACAAGGUAACCGUAGGGGAACCUGCGGUUGGAUCACCUCCUUACCUUAAAGAA